UACGGAGGGUGCUAGCGUUGUUCGGAAUUACUGGGCGUAAAGGGCGCGUAGGCGGCCGUUUGCGUCGGAUGUGAAAGCCCGGGGCUCAACCUCGGAACGGCAUUCGAUACGGGACGGCUGGAGACCGGGAGAGGAGAGUGGAAUAGCCAGUGUAGAGGUGAAAUUCGUAGAUAUUGGCUGGAACACCGGUGGCGAAAGCGGCUCUCUGGCCCGGUACUGACGCUGAGGUGCGAAAGCGUGGGGAGCAAACAGG
This 253-nucleotide ribosomal RNA is filed under the name uncultured bacterium. RNAcentral describes it as "partial 16S ribosomal RNA". It matches the Rfam family "Bacterial small subunit ribosomal RNA", at positions 524 to 776 of the family's 1533-position model. The record is from RNAcentral.